AUAAACCACCGAAAUACAUAGCUUUGGCCAACAAGAAGGUAGCGACACCCAGCAAAACUAGGCGGAUGCCCAAGAUGGUGGUCAUUGUGUCUGCGUCUUCCCA
RNAcentral lists this antisense RNA (103 nucleotides) under Phormidium nigroviride PCC 7112. RNAcentral describes it as "Oscillatoria sp. PCC 7112 Antisense RNA which regulates isiA expression". It matches the Rfam family "Antisense RNA which regulates isiA expression", at positions 82 to 187 of the family's 187-position model. The record is from Rfam by way of RNAcentral. Lineage: Bacteria; Bacillati; Cyanobacteriota; Cyanophyceae; Oscillatoriales; Oscillatoriaceae.